This 631-nucleotide ribosomal RNA is filed under the name Pedicularis rupicola. Its description in RNAcentral is "eukaryotic LSU rRNA". The stretch from base 234 to 389 matches the Rfam family "5.8S ribosomal RNA". Lineage: Eukaryota; Viridiplantae; Streptophyta; Magnoliopsida; Lamiales; Orobanchaceae. The record is from RNAcentral.
UUGUCGAAUUCCUGCAAAAGCAGACCGCGAACACGUUAAACCACAUGUGGGACCGCGGGGGAGACCUCUUGCCCGCGCCCAACCCUCGCACGGCGCGCGCCUAGGCGCGCGUGGUGCGGGCUAACGAACCCCGGCGCGGCAUGUGCCAAGGAAAACUCAUAGAAGCGUCAGCCUCCCUAUCGCCCCGUUCGCGGUGUGCGGAGGGUGAACUGAUGUCUCUCCAAUGUCAUAACGACUCUCGGCAACGGAUAUCUCGGCUCUCGCAUCGAUGAAGAACGUAGCGAAAUGCGAUACUUGGUGUGAAUUGCAGAAUCCCGUGAACCAUCGAGUCUUUGAACGCAAGUUGCGCCCGAAGCCAUUCGGCCGAGGGCACGUCUGCCUGGGCGUCACGCAUCGCGUCGCCUCCCGCGCCCACACCCCAAGGGGUGAUCGGGUCGCGGAGGCGGAAAUUGGCCCCCCGUGCGUUCACCCGCGCGGCCGGCCUAAAUGCGAACCCGUGCCAACUCUUGUCACGACCAGUGGUGGUUGAAAACUCAACUCUCGUGCUGUUUGUCGUGCCGUUUGAGUUGGCUGUCGGGCUUCGUCGCAGACCCAAUGGCGCGAUUCUAUUGUGCCUUCGACCGCGACCCCA